GACAGCCUUCGUCCUCUCCGCGCUGCAGGAAUCCCAGAAGAUCUGCAAGAACUACGUGAAAAGCCUGGAUGGGAGCAUUGCCAAAGCCUCCGAUUACCUCUCCCGGAAAUACCAAUCUCUGACUCGACCCUACACGGUGGCCCUGACCUCCUACGCCCUGGCCCUAACGGGGAAACUCAACAGCGAGAAAGUCCUGAUGAAGUUCUCCAAAGAUGGCACCCACUGGGCGGAACGCAACGCCCACACCUACAACAUCGAGGGGACGUCCUACGCUCUGCUGGCGCUGCUGCAGAUGGAGAAGGCCGAGCUGACGGGGCCGGUG
This 322-nucleotide unclassified non-coding RNA is filed under the name Hevea brasiliensis (rubber tree). The record is from RNAcentral. Lineage: Eukaryota; Viridiplantae; Streptophyta; Magnoliopsida; Malpighiales; Euphorbiaceae.